UCCGUAGGUGAACCUGCGGAGGGAUCAUUACACAAAUAUGAAGCCGGACUGGGAUAGGGCCUCGCUGCCUUGCCCGUCUGGCGCCAUAUUCACCCAUGUCUUUUUGCGUACUACUUGUUUCCUUGGCGGGUCCGCCCGCCAAUUGGACCUUAUUCAAACCUUUUUUUCAGUUGCAAUCAGCGUCAGCAAAACAAAUGUAAUCAAUUACAACUUUCAACAACGGAUCUCUUGGUUCUGGCAUCGAUGAAGAACGCAGCGAAAUGCGAUAAGUAGUGUGAAUUGCAGAAUUCAGUGAAUCAUCGAAUCUUUGAACGCACAUUGCGCCCUUUGGUAUUCCAAAGGGCAUGCCUGUUCGAGCGUCAUUUGUACCCUCAAGCUUUGCUUGGUGUUGGGCGUCUUGUCUCUCUCCCGAGACUCGCCUUAAAAUCAUUGGCAGCCGGCCUACUGGUUUCGGAGCGCAGCACAUUAUUUGCGCUCUUGUCCAGCCGCGGUCGCGCGUCCAUGAAGCUUCUUUCAACCUUUUGACCUCGGAUCAGGUAGGGAUACCCGCUGAACUUAAG
Molecule: ribosomal RNA, 560 nt
Filed under: Pyrenophora trichostoma
Lineage: Eukaryota; Fungi; Ascomycota; Dothideomycetes; Pleosporales; Pleosporaceae
Description: eukaryotic LSU rRNA
Rfam family: 5.8S ribosomal RNA (bases 209-362)
Source: RNAcentral